AUCGCUUCUCGGCCUCUGGCUAAGAUCAAAGUGUAGUAUCUGUUCUUAUCAGCUUAAUAUCUGUAAAAUUUAUUAUUGUUUUGGAGAGGUUUUAAAAGUUUUUUUCUAUUGACAUUUGAGACAAGUUUGACAUUCUCUCUUGUUUCAUGGUGUUUCGACAAUACGUUUUGACUUUUUUGAGACAAGAGAA
Diabrotica virgifera virgifera (western corn rootworm) is the source of this 190-nucleotide small nuclear RNA. RefSeq annotates it as U2 spliceosomal RNA. The transcript has a single exon. Lineage: Eukaryota; Metazoa; Arthropoda; Insecta; Coleoptera; Chrysomelidae. The record is from RefSeq and is a predicted model, not a curated record.